GGGUUGUGAGGUUAAGCGACUAAGCGUACACGGUGGAUGCCCUGGCAGUCAGAGGCGAUGAAGGACGUGCUAAUCUGCGAAAAGCGUCGGUAAGGUGAUAUGAACCGUUAUAACCGGCGAUGUCCGAAUGGGGAAACCCAGUGCAAUUCGUUGCACUAUCGUUAACUGAAUACAUAGGUUAACGAGGCGAACCGGGGGAACUGAAACAUCUAAGUACCCCGAGGAAAAGAAAUCAACCGAGAUUCCCCCAGUAGCGGCGAGCGAACGGGGAGCAGCCCAGAGUCUGAAUCAGCUUGUGUGUUAGUGGAACGGUCUGGAAAGUCCGACGGUACAGGGUGAUAGUCCCGUACACCAAAAUGCACAGGCUGUGAACUCGAAGAGUAGGGCGGGACACGUGGUAUCCUGUCUGAAUAUGGGGGGACCAUCCUCCAAGGCUAAAUACUCCUGACUGACCGAUAGUGAACCAGUACCGUGAGGGAAAGGCGAAAAGAACCCCGGCGAGGGGAGUGAAAAAGAACCUGAAACCGUGUACGUACAAGCAGUGGGAGCACCUUCGGGUGUGACUGCGUACCUUUUGUAUAAUGGGUCAGCGACUUAUAUUCUGUAGCAAGGUUAACCGUAUAGGGGAGCCGCAGGGAAACCGAGUCUUAACUGGGCGUUAAGUUGCAGGGUAUAGACCCGAAACCCGGUGAUCUAGCCAUGGGCAGGUUGAAGGUUGGGUAACACUAACUGGAGGACCGAACCGACUAAUGUUGAAAAAUUAGCGGAUGACUUGUGGCUGGGGGUGAAAGGCCAAUCAAACCGGGAGAUAGCUGGUUCUCCCCGAAAGCUAUUUAGGUAGCGCCUCGUGAAUUCAUCUUCGGGGGUAGAGCACUGUUUCGGCUAGGGGGUCAUCCCGACUUACCAACCCGAUGCAAACUACGAAUACCGAAGAAUGUUAUCACGGGAGACACACGGCGGGUGCUAACGUCCGUCGUGAAGAGGGAAACAACCCAGACCGCCAGCUAAGGUCCCAAAGUCAUGGUUAAGUGGGAAACGAUGUGGGAAGGCACAGACAGCCAGGAUGUUGGCUUAGAAGCAGCCAUCAUUUAAAGAAAGCGUAAUAGCUCACUGGUCGAGUCGGCCUGCGCGGAAGAUGUAACGGGGCUAAACCAUGCACCGAAGCUGCGGCAGCGACACUAUGUGUUGUUGGGUAGGGGAGCGUUCUGUAAGCCUGCGAAGGUGACCUGUGAGGGUUGCUGGAGGUAUCAGAAGUGCGAAUGCUGACAUAAGUAACGAUAAAGCGGGUGAAAAGCCCGCUCGCCGGAAGACCAAGGGUUCCUGUCCAACGUUAAUCGGGGCAGGGUGAGUCGACCCCUAAGGCGAGGCCGAAAGGCGUAGUCGAUGGGAAACAGGUUAAUAUUCCUGUACUUGGUGUUACUGCGAAGGGGGGACGGAGAAGGCUAUGUUAGCCGGGCGACGGUUGUCCCGGUUUAAGCAUGUAGGCUGGUUGUCCAGGCAAAUCCGGAUAAUCAAGGCUGAGGUGUGAUGACGAGGCACUACGGUGCUGAAGUAACAAAUGCCCUGCUUCCAGGAAAAGCCUCUAAGCAUCAGGUAACAUCAAAUCGUACCCCAAACCGACACAGGUGGUCAGGUAGAGAAUACCAAGGCGCUUGAGAGAACUCGGGUGAAGGAACUAGGCAAAAUGGUGCCGUAACUUCGGGAGAAGGCACGCUGGUGUGUAGGUGAAGUCCCUGCGGAUGGAGCUGAGACCAGUCGAAGAUACCAGCUGGCUGCAACUGUUUAUUAAAAACACAGCACUGUGCAAACACGAAAGUGGACGUAUACGGUGUGACGCCUGCCCGGUGCCGGAAGGUUAAUUGAUGGGGUUAUCCGUAAGGAGAAGCUCUUGAUCGAAGCCCCGGUAAACGGCGGCCGUAACUAUAACGGUCCUAAGGUAGCGAAAUUCCUUGUCGGGUAAGUUCCGACCUGCACGAAUGGCGUAAUGAUGGCCAGGCUGUCUCCACCCGAGACUCAGUGAAAUUGAACUCGCUGUGAAGAUGCAGUGUACCCGCGGCAAGACGGAAAGACCCCGUGAACCUUUACUAUAGCUUGACACUGAACAUUGAGCCUUGAUGUGUAGGAUAGGUGGGAGGCUUUGAAGCGUGGACGCCAGUCUGCGUGGAGCCAACCUUGAAAUACCACCCUUUAAUGUUUGAUGUUCUAACGUUGGCCCCUUAUCGGGGUUGCGGACAGUGUCUGGUGGGUAGUUUGACUGGGGCGGUCUCCUCCCAAAGCGUAACGGAGGAGCACGAAGGUUAGCUAAUCCUGGUCGGACAUCAGGAGGUUAGUGCAAUGGCAUAAGCUAGCUUGACUGCGAGCGUGACGGCGCGAGCAGGUGCGAAAGCAGGUCAUAGUGAUCCGGUGGUUCUGAAUGGAAGGGCCAUCGCUCAACGGAUAAAAGGUACUCCGGGGAUAACAGGCUGAUACCGCCCAAGAGUUCAUAUCGACGGCGGUGUUUGGCACCUCGAUGUCGGCUCAUCACAUCCUGGGGCUGAAGUAGGUCCCAAGGGUAUGGCUGUUCGCCAUUUAAAGUGGUACGCGAGCUGGGUUUAGAACGUCGUGAGACAGUUCGGUCCCUAUCUGCCGUGGGCGCUGGAGAAUUGAGGGGGGCUGCUCCUAGUACGAGAGGACCGGAGUGGACGCAUCACUGGUGUUCGGGUUGUCAUGCCAAUGGCACUGCCCGGUAGCUAAAUGCGGAAGAGAUAAGUGCUGAAAGCAUCUAAGCACGAAACUUGCCCCGAGAUGAGUUCUCCCUGAGACUUUAAGUCUCCUGAAGGAACGUUAAAGACGAUGACGUUGAUAGGCCGGGUGUGUAAGCGCAGCGAUGCGUUGAGCUAACCGGUACUAAUGAACCGUGAGGCUUAACCUUACAACGCCGAAG
Molecule: ribosomal RNA, 2923 nt
Filed under: Klebsiella pneumoniae
Lineage: Bacteria; Pseudomonadati; Pseudomonadota; Gammaproteobacteria; Enterobacterales; Enterobacteriaceae
Also listed under: 1 other name
Description: bacterial LSU rRNA
Rfam family: Bacterial large subunit ribosomal RNA
Source: RNAcentral